GUUAGGAAUAUUGGACAUUGGGCGAAAGCCUGAUCCAGCCAUGCCGCGUGAACGAUGAAGGCCUUCGGGUUGUAAAGUUCUUUAGCCGAUGAUUAUAAUGACUGUAGUCGGAAAAUAAGCCCCGGCUAACUUCGUGCCAGCAGCCGCGGUAAUACGAAGGGGGCGAGCGUUAUUCGGAAUCACUGGGCGUAAAGCGUGCGUAGGCGGUUUUGUAAGUUAGGAGUGAAAGCCCAGGGCUCAACCUUGGAAUUGCUCUUAAAAAUGCAAGGCUCGAAUCUCGAAGAGGAUAGCGGAAUUUCCAGUGUAGCAGUGAAAUGCGUAGAUAUUGGAAGGAACACCAGUGGCGUAAGCGGCUAUCUGGACGAGUAUUGACGCUGAGGCACGAAAGCGUGGGGAUCAAACAGGAUUAGAUACCCGAGUAGUCC
Molecule: ribosomal RNA, 425 nt
Filed under: uncultured bacterium
Lineage: Bacteria
Description: partial 16S ribosomal RNA
Rfam family: Bacterial small subunit ribosomal RNA
Source: RNAcentral